GGCUGGAGGAGAAGGUAACAGAGCCAGAAGCAUGCUGGGAAACUGAGUUGAAUAGUGUUCACGGACAUGAUCGUCUAUUCUAAUAAACAUGGCAAUGAGUGAAUCCAGCGAAGCAGGGUCGCGGGGGGCGCUGGAGCCUAUCCCAGCUGUCAUAGGGCGAGAGGCAGGGUACACUCUGGACAGGUCGCCAGUCUGUCGCAGGGCCAACACACAGGGACAGAUAACCAUUCGCACUCACAUUCAUUCACGCCUAGUGACAAUUUGGAUUAUCCAAUUAACCUAUCCCCACAAGCUGCAUGUCUUUGGACGGUGGGAGGAAGCCGGAGUACUCGGAGAGAACCCACGCAAACACGGGGAGAACAUGCAAACUCCACACAGAAAGCCUGAUGUUGGAAUUGAACUCAGGACCUUCUUGCUGUGCGGCAACAGUGCUAACCACUGUGCCACCGUGCUGCCAUUAAUAUUGUUACUAUUGUUAAUAUUGGUUAAGAUUUAUAUCAAUAUUGAUUAACGUUAAGACCUUGUUUUUUGAGGCUAGCAGAUGUUAAUGUUAAUAUUAAACUAUAAGGACACGUACUACUAUCUUAUUGUUCAAUUUUUUUGUCUCUUGUUUUUGUUUGGGGUUUUUUGUUUUUUGGGGGUUUUUUGUUGUUUUUUUGUUUUGUUUUGUUUUUUUGUUUUUUUGUAGGGGUUUUGUAUUUUUUGUAUAGGUCAAUUCAAUUUCUCUGUAACAUAUUCAUUUUUACAUUAUUUGGAAAGAGUGGGGGGUAUUCAGGUACUCAUUCCAUUUAUGGUUUUUGUUGUAUGUUAUAAAAAAAAAGAAAAAGGAAAAGAUUAUUACUUCUAUAUGUACCUAUGUGUUUUAUGACAGUUUGGUAUUGAAAAAUAAAAGAAAGAAUAAGAAAUGCACCUGCCUCACAAAAGGGAUGUAAUACAGCAUUCCCAGUUCUCUCUUCCCUGUACAGUAUCUGCUCCAAUAGGUUCCUUCUUUGCCAUACUCAUGCCAUACUUCAAACUUAAAUAAUAAUUCCCACAUUUAUGGCAAUGCUUUUGCAAGAUCUUUUAUUAUUUUGCUCUAUAUUGUCUACAUUGCAUCUUAUUUUUUGUUGCUGUAAGUACAUUUUCUUGCCAUCAUCUGAGCUCAGUGAGCCCUUUAGGAGAAACACCUGUGCAGUCUCAUGCAAUCGAUGCAACAUUUUUGCCAUAAAUACUGGCACAGGUUCAGCUUUUGAUAAUACUGCUAGUAAGAUGAUCAUCUCAUGUUUGCUACUAAAGUUGUAGUUGCAGGCAGUGGUGUACAUUUAAUGGUGUACAGGAAUCUAUGUGGUGGACAAAUUUUUCAUUAUUAAUGAUUUUUUAAAUAUGUGUCAUAGCCAGUGUUGGGGAGUAACGGAAUACAUGUACCGCCGUUACGUAUUUAAAAUACAAAAUAU
This is a long non-coding RNA of Astatotilapia calliptera (eastern happy), 1433 nucleotides long. The record is from Ensembl. NCBI's taxonomy places the organism in Eukaryota, Metazoa, Chordata, Actinopteri, Cichliformes, Cichlidae.